GCCCGGGUGGUGGAAUGGUAGACACGGAGGACUUAAAAUCCUCUUCCUUCUGGAGUACGGGUUCGAGCCCCGUCCUGGGCACCA
This 84-nucleotide transfer RNA is filed under the name Candidatus Altimarinota bacterium. RNAcentral's name for it is "tRNA-Leu". It matches the Rfam family "tRNA". Rfam says of the family: Transfer RNA (tRNA) molecules are approximately 80 nucleotides in length. Their secondary structure includes four short double-helical elements and three loops (D, anti-codon, and T loops). The record is from RNAcentral. Lineage: Bacteria; Candidatus Altimarinota.